This 425-nucleotide ribosomal RNA is filed under the name uncultured bacterium. Its description in RNAcentral is "partial 16S ribosomal RNA". It matches the Rfam family "Bacterial small subunit ribosomal RNA", at positions 354 to 796 of the family's 1533-position model. The record is from RNAcentral.
GUGGGGAAUCUUGCGCAAUGGGCGAAAGCCUGACGCAGCCAUGCCGCGUGAAUGAUGAAGGUCUUAGGAUUGUAAAAUUCUUUCACCGGGGACGAUAAUGACGGUACCCGGAGAAGAAGCCCCGGCUAACUUCGUGCCAGCAGCCGCGGUAAUACGAAGGGGGCUAGCGUUGUUCGGAAUUACUGGGCGUAAAGCGCACGUAGGCGGAUAUUUAAGUCAGGGGUGAACUCCCGGGGCUCAACCCCGGAACUGCCUUUGAUACUGGGUGUCUGGAGUAUGGAAGAGGUAAGUGGAAUUCCGAGUGUAGAGGUGAAAUUCGUAGAUAUUCGGAGGAACACCAGUGGCGAAGGCGGCUUACUGGUCCAUUACUGACGCUGAGGUGCGAAAGCGUGGGGAGCAAACAGGAUUAGAAACCCUGGUAGUCC